UUGUGUGGUCAAGCUACAAAGGGUCCAUAAAGGAUGACUUGGCAAACUAAGGCGAUGAAGGACGCGGUAAGCAGCGAUAUGCUCCGGGGAGUCGCAAACAGACUUUGAUCCGGAGAUCUCCGAAUGGGAAAACCUUGCUUGAGUAAUAUCAAGUAAUCCUAGCCUAAAAUUCAAAAUAGGGUUAGGAAGCGACACCCAGAGAAUUGAAACAUCUAAGUAUCUGGAGGAAAAGAAACCGAAUGGUAUUCCCCUAGUAGCGGCGAGCGAAGAGGGAAGAGUCUAAACUUUGCAUCGCAAGAUGCAAGGGGUUGCGGGACCUCGAUAUCGGAUUGCAGAUAGAUAACAGAAGUGUAUGGAAAGACACGCCAAAGAAAGUGAAAGCCUUGUAAGCAAAAUCUUGAAGCACUGUAGAGGUAUCCCAAGUACUACGGGACACGUGAAACCCUGUAGGAAUCUGGCCCGACCACGGGCUAAGACUAAAUACUAUUUAGUUUGACCGAUAGUGGACAAGUACUGUGAAGGAAAGUUGAAAAGAACCCCGGUGAGGGGAGUGAAAUAGAACCUAAAAUUAUGGACCUACAAGCUGUCGGAGGGCUAUGAUAUCUGCGCAAGUGGAUAUAAUGCCUGACGGCGUACCUAUUGAAUAAUGAACCGACGAGUUACUGUGCGAUGCAAGUUUAAGUCCGAUAACGGACGAAGACGUAGCGAAAGCGAGUCUGAAUAGGGCGAUUAGUAUCGUAUAGUAGACCCGAAGCUGAGUGAUCUACUCAUGGCCAGGGUGAAGCUUUGCGAAAGCAAGGUGGAAGUCCGAACCCAUCAGUGUUGAAAAACUGCGGGAUGAGCUGUGAGUCGGAGUGAAAGGCUAAUCAAACUCAGAAAUUGCUGGUUCUCCCCGAAAUAGUUCUAGGACUAGCCUCGAGUGAUUGAAUAGUGGGGGUAGAGUGCUGAAUGGGCUAGCAGCCUUACCAGGCUAGCAAACCCAACCAAACUCCGAAUACCAUUAUUUUUACCUCGGGAGUCAGCCGGUGAGGGAUAAGCCUCAUCGUCGAGAGGGGAUCAGCCCAGACCGCCAGUUAAGGUCCCUAAGAAUAAGCUAAGUGGUAAAGGAUGUGAAAUCGCUUUGACAGCCAGGAUGUUGGCUCAGAGGCAGCCACCAUUUAAAGAGUGCGUAACAGCUCACUGGUCGAGAGGUUUCGCGCCUAAAAUAAUCGGGGCUCAAGCUUAUUACCGAAACUGUGGUUCUCCGACGGAAACGUCGGAGGGGGUAGGGGAGCAUUCUGUCUUACAUUGAAGGUGUACCGUAAGGAGCACUGGAGGAGACAGAAGGGAUAAUGUCGGUAUGAGUAGCGAAAAGAUCCGCGAGAAACGGAUCCGUCGAAAAUCUAAGGUUUCCUGGGGAAGGUUAAUCCGCCCAGGGUUAGUCGAUCCUAAGCCGAGGCCGAAGGGCGUAGGUGAUGGAGAGCCGGUUAAUAUUCCGGCACCGACUAGAUUGCGUUAUAACUUAUCAGUUGACACAGUAAGCUAGGUCUGCGGAGUGUUGGAUGUCUCCGUUUGAACCUGUAGGCCUUAACGGAAGUUGAGGAUGAGAGGUUUCAGGAGUCUGCGCUACGGCAAGGGCGAAGUGACCGACGCUACGCUGGCGAGAAAAAGCUGAUGAGGAGUGGUCUAGUUGUCCGUACCGUAAUCCAACACAGGUAGAUAUCCAGAAUAUGGAAAGACGCUCGAGAUAACUCUUGUUAAGGAACUCGGCAAAAUAGCCCCGUAACUUCGGGAGAAGGGGUACUUUGGAAUGUGAAGGGCACACCGGAGCGUUCCAGAGUUUCAAUAAAGUGGCCCGGGUGACUGUUUAGUAAAAACACAUCUCUCUGCAAAGUCGCAAGACGACGUAUAGGGAGUGACACCUGCCCGGUGCUGGAAGGUUAAGGAGAGGAGUUAGUGUCCGCCGUAAGGUGGAUGCAAAGCCCCGAACUGAAGCCCCAGUAAACGGCGGCCGUAACUAUAACGGUCCUAAGGUAGCGAAAUUCCUUGUGGGGUAAGUUCCCACGCGCACGAAUGGUGUAACAACUUGGGCGCUGUCUCAACAAGAGGCUCGGCGAAAUUGUAGUGGCGGUGAAGAUGCCGUCUACCCGCAUCAAGACGAAAAGACCCCGGAACUUUUACUGUACCCUGGUAUUGGAUUUUGGUCCGAUUUGUGUAGUAUAGGUGGGAGGCUUUGAAGCCCGGUCGCUAGAUCGGGAUGAGCCACAAUGUGAAAUACCACCCUCAUCGUAUUAAAAUCCUAAUUGUCUUCCUUGAAUCAGGAGACAAGACAUUGCCAGGCGGGCAGUUUGACUGGGGCGGUUUCCUCCUAAAUGAUAACGGCGGAGUCCAAAGGUUGGCUCAAGGCGGUCGGCAAUCGCCUGAGGAGUGCAAAGGCACAAGCCAGCUUAACUGCGAGGUCGACAGACCGAACAGAUACGAAAGUAGGGCUUAGUGAUCCGGUGAUACCUCGUGGGAGGGUCAUCGCUCAUCGAAUAAUAAGUACUCCGGGGAUAACAGGCUUAUCGGGCUCGAGAGUUCAUAUCGACAGCCCGGUUUGGCACCUCGAUGUCGGCUCAUCCUAUCCUGGGGCUGGAUAAGGUCCCAAGGGUCCGGCUGUUCGCCGGUUAAAAGGGUACGCGAGCUGGGUUUAGAACGUCGUGAGACAGUUCGGUCUCUAUCUGAUGUGGGCGCAGGAUGUUUGACGAGGAGCUCUCCUUAGUACGAGAGGACCAGGAGGGACGGACCUCUGGUGUUCCAGUUGUUCUGCCAAGGGCAAAGGCUGGGUAGCUAUGUUCGGUCGGGAUAAGCGCUGAAGGCAUAUAAGCGCCAAGCCCACCUCAAGAACAGACAUCCCUUCUCGACUUGUCGAGAUAUAGGCACCUUGUAGACUACGAGGUUGAUAGGCUGCGUGUGUAAGAGCCGUGAGGCUUUAAGCUUAGCAGUACUAAUCUGCCAAUCGGCUUGACCC
This 2989-nucleotide ribosomal RNA is filed under the name Candidatus Omnitrophota bacterium. RNAcentral describes it as "Candidatus Omnitrophica bacterium 23S ribosomal RNA". It matches the Rfam family "Bacterial large subunit ribosomal RNA". Lineage: Bacteria; Pseudomonadati; Candidatus Omnitrophota. The record is from RNAcentral.